AUGGCCGGGAAGGGAGGCAAGGGCCUGCUCGCGGCCAAGACGACGGCCGCCAAGACCGCCGAGAAGGACAAGGGGAAGAAGGCCCCCAUCUCCCGCUCGUCCCGCGCGGGACUUCAGUUCCCUGUGGGCCGUAUCCAUCGUCAGCUGAAGCAAAGGACUCAGGCCAAUGGCCGUGUUGGUGCUACUGCGGCGGUCUACUCUGCUGCCAUCCUGGAGUACCUGACGGCUGAGGUCCUGGAGCUGGCUGGCAACGCCAGCAAGGAUCUCAAGGUGAAGCGUAUCACCCCUCGUCACCUCCAGCUGGCCAUCCGUGGAGACGAGGAGCUCGACACCCUCAUCAAGGGCACCAUUGCUGGUGGAGGUGUGAUCCCGCACAUCCACAAGUCCCUGAUCAACAAGUCUUCCAAAGAGUGA
This 414-nucleotide ribosomal RNA is filed under the name Triticum aestivum (bread wheat). Its description in RNAcentral is "partial small subunit ribosomal RNA". The record is from RNAcentral. Lineage: Eukaryota; Viridiplantae; Streptophyta; Magnoliopsida; Poales; Poaceae.